Molecule: ribosomal RNA, 378 nt
Filed under: Eomantis guttatipennis
Lineage: Eukaryota; Metazoa; Arthropoda; Insecta; Mantodea; Nanomantidae
Also listed under: 1 other name
Description: partial 12S ribosomal RNA
Source: RNAcentral
AUUAGAUACCCUAUUAUUUUUAAUGUAAAAAAUUAAGCCAGAGUACUAUUAGUUAAGGUCUUGAAACUUAAAGAAUUUGGCGGUAUUAUAGUCUAUUUAGAGGAAUCUGUUAGGUAAUCGAUAGCCCACGUUGAACCUUACUUAUAUUAUUUCUUGUAUACCGCUGUUUAAUGAAUAUACUUUUAGGUUAUUUUCUGAAUAAAGAAGUAAUUAAAAUUUCAAGUCAAGGUGCAGUAAUAUAUAAGUCGUAAAUGGAUUACAAUAAAUUUUGUUUAUUACGGAUAAUUUUUGGAAUAAUUGUUUGAAGGUGGAUUUAAUUGUAAUUUUUUAAAGAUUGUUUAAAUGAUUGGUAGCUCUAUAAUAUGCACACAUCGCCCG